This 538-nucleotide ribosomal RNA is filed under the name uncultured Acinetobacter sp. RNAcentral describes it as "bacterial SSU rRNA". It matches the Rfam family "Bacterial small subunit ribosomal RNA", at positions 86 to 619 of the family's 1533-position model. Lineage: Bacteria; Pseudomonadati; Pseudomonadota; Gammaproteobacteria; Moraxellales; Moraxellaceae. The record is from RNAcentral.
UAUCACUUAGCGGCGGACGGGUGAGUAAUGCUUAGGAAUCUGCCUAUUAGUGGGGGACAACAUUUCGAAAGGAAUGCUAAUACCGCAUACGCCCUACGGGGGAAAGCAGGGGACCUUCGGGCCUUGCGCUAAUAGAUGAGCCUAAGUCAGAUUAGCUAGUUGGUGGGGUAAAGGCCUACCAAGGCGACGAUCUGUAGCGGGUCUGAGAGGAUGAUCCGCCACACUGGGACUGAGACACGGCCCAGACUCCUACGGGAGGCAGCAGUGGGGAAUAUUGGACAAUGGGGGAAACCCUGAUCCAGCCAUGCCGCGUGUGUGAAGAAGGCCUUUUGGUUGUAAAGCACUUUAAGCGAGGAGGAGGCUACUUAGAUUAAUACUCUAGGAUAGUGGACGUUACUCGCAGAAUAAGCACCGGCUAACUCUGUGCCAGCAGCCGCGGUAAUACAGAGGGUGCGAGCGUUAAUCGGAUUUACUGGGCGUAAAGCGUGCGUAGGUGGUCUUUUAAGUCGGAUGUGAAAUCCCUGAGCUUAACUUAGGA